Molecule: ribosomal RNA, 306 nt
Filed under: Gibbsiella quercinecans
Lineage: Bacteria; Pseudomonadati; Pseudomonadota; Gammaproteobacteria; Enterobacterales; Yersiniaceae
Description: partial 16S ribosomal RNA
Rfam family: Bacterial small subunit ribosomal RNA
Source: RNAcentral
UUUAAUUGAAGAGUUUGAUCAUGGCUCAGAUUGAACGCUGGCGGCAGGCCUAACACAUGCAAGUCGAGCGGCAGCGGGAGGAAGCUUGCUUCCUCGCCGGCGAGCGGCGGACGGGUGAGUAAUGUCUGGGAAACUGCCCGAUGGAGGGGGAUAACUACUGGAAACGGUAGCUAAUACCGCAUAACGUCGCAAGACCAAAGUGGGGGACCUUAGGGCCUCACACCAUCGGAUGUGCCCAGAUGGGAUUAGCUAGUAGGUGGGGUAAUGGCUCACCUAGGCGACGAUCCCUAGCUGGUCUGAGAGGAU